Molecule: non-coding RNA, 249 nt
Organism: Vicia faba (fava bean)
Lineage: Eukaryota; Viridiplantae; Streptophyta; Magnoliopsida; Fabales; Fabaceae
Source: the annotation of a GenBank genome assembly
AUGUUUGUGAUUGUCAAAAUUCCAGAGCAAAACACGAUAAACUCUUCAUCUCCUUUGCACGGUCUCCGCGAACUCAACCGCCGCCGUCGUUUCGCCUUUCGUCUCACAUUGUUCCGUCUCCGUGAUGAUCCGUCGACAUCUCACUCGCGGUGGCCUCAGCUCUCAUCGUCACUUGAACGCCUCCGUCUCGAUCUAUCUUCUGAUUCCGCCUCAAACUUUUUACUUCUAACAAAAACUUCGAAACUCUAA